UCCGGUUGAUCCUGCCGGACCCCACUGCUAUCGGGGUGGGACUAAGACAUGCUAGUCGUGCGCCUCCAAGCCACGGUGGAGGCGCGGCGCACAGCUCAGUAACACGUGGCUAACCUACCCUUGGGACAGGGACAACCCCGGGAAACUGGGGCUAAUCCCCGAUAGGUGAGGACUCCUGGAAUGGGUCCUCGCUGAAAGGGCGUCUAGACCAUGCUUCUAGACGCUGCCCAAGGAUGGGGCCGCGGCCGAUCAGGUUGUUGGUGAGGUAACGGCUCACCAAGCCUAAGACCGGUACGGGCCGUGAGAGCGGGAGCCCGGAGAUGGACACUGAGACAAGGGUCCAGGCCCUACGGGGCGCAGCAGUCGCGAAACCUCCGCAAUACGCGAAAGCGUGACGGGGCCACCCCGAGUGCCGUCCGCUGAGGACGGCUUUUCCCCAGUGUAGACAGCUGGGGGGAAUAAGGGGAGGGCAAGUCGGGUGUCAGCCGCCGCGGUAAUACCCGCUCCCCGAGUGGUGGGGACGCUUAUUGGGCCUAAAGCAUCCGUAGCCGGCUGGACAAGUCCCCUGUUAAAUCCAGCGAUUUAAUCGCUGGACUGCGGGGGAUACUGUCCAGCUAGGGGGCGGGAGAGGCCGGCGGUAUUCCCGGGGUAGGGGUGAAAUCUUAUAAUCCCGGGAGGACCACCAGUGGCGAAGGCUGCCGGCUGGAACGCGCCCGACGGUGAGGGAUGAAAGCUGGGGGAGCGAACCGGAUUAGAUACCCGGGUAGUCCCAGCUGUAAACGAUGCGGGCUAGGUGUUGGCACGGCUACAAGCCGUGUCAGUGCCGCAGGGAAGCCGUUAAGCCCGCCGCCUGGGGAGUACGGCCGCAAGGCUGAAACUUAAAGGAAUUGGCGGGGGAGCACCACAAGGGGUGAAGCUUGCGGUUUAAUUGGAGUCAACGCCGGG
Molecule: ribosomal RNA, 945 nt
Filed under: uncultured archaeon
Lineage: Archaea
Description: bacterial SSU rRNA
Rfam family: Archaeal small subunit ribosomal RNA
Source: RNAcentral